Molecule: ribosomal RNA, 495 nt
Filed under: uncultured bacterium
Lineage: Bacteria
Description: partial 16S ribosomal RNA
Rfam family: Bacterial small subunit ribosomal RNA
Source: RNAcentral
GACGAACGCUGGCGGCGUGCCUAAUACAUGCAAGUAGAACGCUGAAGGAGGAGCUUGCUUCUCUGGAUGAGUUGCGAACGGGUGAGUAACGCGUAGGUAACCUGCCUGGUAGCGGGGGAUAACUAUUGGAAACGAUAGCUAAUACCGCAUAAGAGUAGAUGUUGCAUGACAUUUGCUUAAAAGGUGCAAUUGCAUCACUACCAGAUGGACCUGCGUUGUAUUAGCUAGUUGGUGGGGUAACGGCUCACCAAGGCGACGAUACAUAGCCGACCUGAGAGGGUGAUCGGCCACACUGGGACUGAGACACGGCCCAGACUCCUACGGGAGGCAGCAGUAGGGAAUCUUCGGCAAUGGACGGAGGUCUGACCGAGCAACGCCGCGUGAGUGAAGAAGGUUUUCGGAUCGUAAAGCUCUGUUGUAAGAGAAGAACGAGUGUGAGAGUGGAAAGUUCACACUGUGACGGUAUCUGACCAGAAAGGGACGGCUAACUACGUG